RNAcentral lists this ribosomal RNA (490 nucleotides) under uncultured bacterium. RNAcentral describes it as "partial 16S ribosomal RNA". It matches the Rfam family "Bacterial small subunit ribosomal RNA", at positions 30 to 507 of the family's 1533-position model. The record is from RNAcentral.
AUUGAACGCUGGCGGCAGGCCUAACACAUGCAAGUCGAACGGUAACAGGAAGAGGCUUGCUUCUUUGCUGACGAGUGGCGGACGGGUGAGUAAUGUCUGGGAAACUGCCUGAUGGAGGGGGAUAACUACUGGAAACGGUAGCUAAUACCGCAUAACGUCGCAAGACCAAAGAGGGGGACCUUCGGGCCUCUUGCCAUCGGAUGUGCCCCGAUGGGAUUCGCUAGUAGGUGGGGUAACGGCUCACCUAGGCGACGAGCCCUAGCUGGUCUGAGAGGAUGACCAGCCACACUGGAACUGAGACACGGUCCAGACUCCUACGGGAGGCAGCAGUGGGGAAUAUUGCACAAUGGGCGCAAGCCUGAUGCAGCAAUGCCGCGUGUAUGAAGAAGGCCUUCGGGUUGUAAAGUACUUUCAGCGGGGAGGAAGGGAGUAAAGUUAAUACCUGUGCUCAUUGACGUUACCCGCAGAAGAAGCACCGGCUAACUCCGUG